CCGUUCAUUCUCCCUCUUAGAUGGAGCAUGUGGAUACGGAAGGUUUUGGAUUGGACUAGCGUCCACUACCUCCUUUCCUUUAGAAACUCUAGAAUUCCUCUCUCUUUUAUUUUUUACUCCCUCCACUAUCACUUCAUCACUCUUAUUUUUUUCAACUUCCACACUUUCUUUAUUUUCUACUUCACCAUUCUUUUCAUUCUUUUCAACUUCUUCCUCACUCCACUCCCCAACUU
Molecule: long non-coding RNA, 233 nt
Filed under: Lathyrus oleraceus (garden pea)
Lineage: Eukaryota; Viridiplantae; Streptophyta; Magnoliopsida; Fabales; Fabaceae
Description: Pisum sativum (pea) long non-coding RNA (PSAT_LNC025444)
Source: RNAcentral